GGCUAAUACCGCAUACGUCCUACGGGAGAAAGGGGGCUCCGGCUCCCGCUAUCGGAUGAGCCUAUGUCGGAUUAGCUGGUUGGUGAGGUAAAGGCUCACCAAGGCGACGAUCCGUAGCUGGUCUGAGAGGAUGAUCAGCCACAUCGGGACUGAGACACGGCCCGAACUCCUACGGGAGGCAGCAGUGGGGAAUAUUGGACAAUGGGGGGAACCCUGAUCCAGCCAUGCCGCGUGUGUGAAGAAGGCCCUCGGGUUGUAAAGCACUUUCAGUGAAGAAGAACGCCUGGUGGUUAAUACCCAUCAGGAAAGACAUCACUCACAGAAGAAGCACCGGCUAACUCCGUGCCAGCAGCCGCGGUAAUACGGAGGGUGCAAGCGUUAAUCGGAAUUACUGGGCGUAAAGCGCGCGUAGGUGGCUUGAUAAGCCGGUUGUGAAAGCCCCGGGCUCAACCUGGGAACGGCAUCCGGAACUGUCAAGCUAGAGUGCAGGAGAGGAAGGUAGAAUUCCCGGUGUAGCGGUGAAAUGCGUAGAGAUCGGGAGGAAUACCAGUGGCGAAGGCGGCCUUCUGGACUGACACUGACACUGAGGUGCGAAAGCGUGGGUAGCAAACAGGAUUAGAUACCCUGGUAGUCCACGCCGUAAACGAUGUCGACCAGCCGUUGGGUGCCUAGCGCACUUUGUGGCGAANACCACUUCUGAUAAGUCGACCGCCUGGGGAGUACGGCCGCAAGGUUAAAACUCAAAUGAAUUGACGGGGGCCCGCACAAGCGGUGGAGCAUGUGGUUUAAUUCGAUGCAACGCGAAGAACCUUACCUACUCUUGACAUCCUGCGAAUUUGGUAGAGAUACCUUAGUGCCUUCGGGAACGCAGAGACAGGUGCUGCAUGGCUGUCGUCAGCUCGUGUUGUGAAAUGUUGGGUUAAGUCCCGUAACGAGCGCAACCCUUGUCCUUAUUUGCCAGCGCGUAAUGGCGGGAACUCUAAGGAGACUGCCGGUGACAAACCGGAGGAAGGUGGGGACGACGUCAAGUCAUCAUGGCCCUUACGAGUAGGGCUACACACGUGCUACAAUGGUCGGUACAAAGGGUUGCCAACUCGCGAGAGUGAGCCAAUCCCGAAAAGCCGAUCUCAGUCCGGAUCGGAGUCUGCAACUCGACUCCGUGAAGUCGGAAUCGCUAGUA
RNAcentral lists this ribosomal RNA (1180 nucleotides) under uncultured Halomonas sp. Its description in RNAcentral is "bacterial SSU rRNA". It matches the Rfam family "Bacterial small subunit ribosomal RNA", at positions 161 to 1340 of the family's 1533-position model. The record is from RNAcentral. Lineage: Bacteria; Pseudomonadati; Pseudomonadota; Gammaproteobacteria; Oceanospirillales; Halomonadaceae.